Erythranthe guttata (spotted monkey flower) is the source of this 576-nucleotide non-coding RNA. Lineage: Eukaryota; Viridiplantae; Streptophyta; Magnoliopsida; Lamiales; Phrymaceae. The record is from RefSeq and is a predicted model, not a curated record.
CAAACUUGUGCAGAUUUAACUGCAAUUUGAUGAAAUGAGUUACUAUAUGCAUUUACACAACGAUAUGAUCUACUUUACAUUGUAGCUCUGUAAUUUUGUUCUGCCUUUAAACCGGAGAAAGUACCUAAAACUCUUCUGUUUUUACUAGCAGCAGCUUAUACAAUUUCCUUUGAUUUUUCAGGAUGAAGCUUUCAAUGUAUGCUUCUGUGACAAAUACCAUUCCAUACUUGGAUGAUGAAUCCAAAUUAUCAGGCCAUAUCGUGGUGAGAGAUAAGAGAGCUGUUGACAAGUUUGAGUUGGAUCCAUCAAAAGAUAAUUGUAACACCAUUUGGAAGAUGAUAAACCUGUGAAUAAUCUCUAGAUUGUGGGCGAAUAUGCUCAAUUCUGAUUUAUUGCUUGGGAAGUUGGACAAGAAUUCAAAUUUGGUUCUUGAAGUUGAAAUGUUUUAGGGUUUUUUUCUAUUUUAUUUUUGUAAUAUCUGGUGUUUAUGCUCUGAUGAACAGCUGAGCAAGCAAAGUAAGAUAUAUGUAUGUAUAUGCUCUAUUAUUUAUGGCAGUUGGUGAAAUCUUGUUUUGA